RNAcentral lists this ribosomal RNA (397 nucleotides) under uncultured bacterium. Its description in RNAcentral is "partial 16S ribosomal RNA". It matches the Rfam family "Bacterial small subunit ribosomal RNA", at positions 523 to 918 of the family's 1533-position model. The record is from RNAcentral.
AUACGUAGGUGACAAGCGUUAUCCGGAUUUACUGGGCGUAAAGGGCGUGUAGGCGGUCUUGCAAGUCAGAAGUGAAAUUCCUGAGCUCAACUCGGGCGCUGCUUCUGAAACUGCAGGACUUGAGUGCUGGAGGGGAUAGCGGAAUUCCUAGUGGAGCGGUAAAAUGCGCAUAUAUUAGGAAGAACACCGGUGGGGAAGGCGGAUAUCUGGAGAUUAACGGACUCUGAGGCUAGAAAGCGUGGGGAUAAAACAGGAUUUGAUACACUGUUAUUCCACGCCUUAAACGAUGAAUACUAGAUGUAUUGGGUAUCGACUCCCUCUGUGCCGCAGUUAACACAAUAAGUAUUCCGCCUGGGGAGUACGGCCGCAAGGUUGAAACUCAAAUGAAUUGACUUGG